RNAcentral lists this small nucleolar RNA (103 nucleotides) under Caenorhabditis japonica. Its description in RNAcentral is "Small nucleolar RNA sn2524". It matches the Rfam family "Small nucleolar RNA sn2524". The record is from Rfam by way of RNAcentral. Lineage: Eukaryota; Metazoa; Nematoda; Chromadorea; Rhabditida; Rhabditidae.
UGCUUAUUACGUAAAGCUCGAGUUCUUGACUCCAUCCUUAUUGUCCUUAGCCAUUUUUAUCAAAAACGCCUCCACAAAAUCGUCACCAUCACCGUCUAACUCA